RNAcentral lists this microRNA (21 nucleotides) under Mus musculus (house mouse). RNAcentral describes it as "mmu-miR-7049-3p". Lineage: Eukaryota; Metazoa; Chordata; Mammalia; Rodentia; Muridae. The record is from miRBase by way of RNAcentral.
UGCAGCCCCUGUCUGCCUCAG